Non-coding RNA from Petromyzon marinus (sea lamprey), 2102 nucleotides. The record is from RefSeq and is a predicted model, not a curated record. Lineage: Eukaryota; Metazoa; Chordata; Hyperoartia; Petromyzontiformes; Petromyzontidae.
ACAGCAGCAGGCGUCAAGGUCGGGAUCGAACCCACGACCUCCUGCAUACCAGGCGAGGUAGUUAACAUCUCCUCGUGACCGUGGUGCUCAGUCGUCAAGCAAGCUCUAUCUGACUGAAUAAAAAUGAUCAUCAUACUUCCCUCCAUUUGGCCAUCGCUUCAGUGACAUCUCUCUCUGCCCGUGCAUCCGUCAUUAAUGGCAAGCGCUAUCCCGUGGCUGGGGUGAAUGAAGUGGACAGGCAUUAAUGACGAUGCCUCAGUCAACCAGGAGCCCUCGGAGGUAAUGGCUUUAAACAGCGCUCGGCUUCGUUCUAAUUGAAUGCACAUCAUUCACUGCACAAUCGCAUAAACACGAGCGCUAAAGAUGAUGAGUUUAAUGGGAAUUCUCUAUCGACAAAAUGUUGACCACACGCGGUCUUGACAGUGGUACAAAUUUAUUUUUCAGACUCUAUUAAAACACUUGCCACACAUUUCUUAUUAUUUUUGUAAAGCUUAUUAAACUUUUUUUAAAAUGUGCAAAUGGUGUUAUCAUGUCCAAUAUGACUACUGCCGACGACGAAUACAAUGAGCGUGUUUUAAUUAAUUUGGACCAUGCACAGAAAGCGAAUACCGAAGCAACACUGCACUGGCUUCGAGUCCAAUCUGCUUUUAUACAUUUUUGUCAAUUCCUGAUUGCCAAUUUUGUUUUGAUUGUGGUAUUUAGAAGAAAAACAAAUGUAAUUCGCAGUGAACCUAAUCAACCAAAGCUCUUCCAUGCAGUAAAUUCUGCCACCUAACAAUGCAAUGUCACACAAUCGUAUUCCCGUAUUUAUCAUCAUAAAAGGCUCAGCGGACCUCAGCUGCCUCAAGCGAGGGAGCCAUUCGUCACAGCAGCACCCCGGUGACAGGGUCAAAAAUUUACUUAUCUCGACCUUUGAACCUUGUGGGAUGGACCUGGUUCAUGCUUUUGCAAAUCAGAAAAAAAAUUGAAAUGACAAUCAAAGCAACUGCAUUAACAAUGCGUGCCCGCUGCGGCGCACGUCACAUCACUUUUGGGGGACGUCGCCGAAUCUCCUGAGCGCGACGGAAGAGACGAGCAGAAUUUUGCAACCGUUAAGAGUAUCAACGGGAGAACGCGAUGACGUAUCAUUAAAAAGACGGCGACAUUGACGAAUCGUCGUCGGCAAUCGGCGGCAGCCGUACUCAAAUCCGCUGCUGGAUGAAGGCCACUCCAGGCCGUCGCCACAUCCCGCGGUCCCGUGACGAGGGAACGAGUGCAACCGGUGCGGUGGCAGCGCCGCUCUCUAACGAGGUCACCGACGACAGAGGGACACCCAAGUCCGGUUACGUGACAUGGUGUAACCGGUCGGCCUAUGCACCCAACUUUGUCUGCUUGUCCAGACCGCACCGUGCAGUGCCGAUAAGGGCGCCGAGACAGUCGUACGUUCGUGAAAUAAGGACGUAGCAAAAGCUGUUGCUGCUGGAUGCCAAUUUUUGUAUUAUUGAUGAGCUGAAUUGCAAUUAAAAUUGGGUAUCUUUGAGAACCGUGUUUGUGCAUGGGCAUGAAGUUUAUUUUUGCCAAUUAAAUUAUCGUCAAAUUUUUACAUUCAAGUACAGAUAACUGUAAAGUACCCUUCAAGAAAUUAUUACACAUCCUGUGAUAUUGUAAGAUGAUUGAAGUGUUGUACAGUAUUUUAUUGGCAACACAAAUUAUCCCACCUGACUUGGCAGACACGAUAUUGCUCACCGCUUUGUAGCUGCUUUUCACGAACCUCCUUGCAGUGCAACACAGAUGGAACACCGACAAACAUUAUUUUUACAAAUGUAUUUUGGGUCACAUGAAAAUUGUAUUCUGGAAAUUUAAAAAAAUAUAUUAAAUAAAAUACAUGUCAUUUAACCAUGAAUUGCCAUCAAUAAGUUGGCUUUUUUAAUAUCAAACCGUAGAGUUUGAUUUAAAAAAAACGGAGAAAAUUCAUGGUACAGACGCUGUUAACUUCUGUUAAAAGUCUCCGUGUGUGGUGCUGGAACUGUGCAGGAACCAUAGACCAGGCCGGAGGCUUACGCCGCGAAGUGGCCACCGUGUGGAAGAGAUGCCCGUCUACAAGAGAUGGAGGUGCCUGCAAG